UCGAGGAUCUUUCGCAAUGGGCGAAAGCCUGACGAAGCGACGCUGUGUGAGCGAUGAAGGCCUUCGGGUUGUAAAGCUCUUUCGCAUAAGAACAAGAAAAGCUGGUGAAUAACCGGCCGAUUUGAGUGUACUAUGUAAAGAAGCACCGGCUAACUCCGUGCCAGCAGCUGCGGUAAUACGGAGGGUGCAAGCAUUAAUCGGAUUUAUUGGGCGUAAAGGGCGCGUAGGCGGUUAUUUAAGUCAGGUGUGAAAUUCCAAAGCUCAACUUUGGAGCUGCAUUUGAAACUGGAUGACUAGAGGAAUGGCGGAGAAAAUGGAAUUCCACGUGUAGCGGUGAAAUGCGUAGAUAUGUGGAAGAACACCUGUGGCGAAAGCGGUUUUCUAGCUUAUUCCUGACGCU
Molecule: ribosomal RNA, 400 nt
Filed under: uncultured bacterium
Lineage: Bacteria
Description: bacterial SSU rRNA
Rfam family: Bacterial small subunit ribosomal RNA
Source: RNAcentral